AGGACGAACGCUGGCGGCGUGCUUAACACAUGCAAGUCGAGCGGUAAGGCCCCUUCGGGGUACUCGAGCGGCGAACGGGUGAGUAACACGUGAGCAACCUGCCCUUAGCUCCGGGAUAGCUCCGGGAAACCGGAAUUAAUACCGGAUAUGACUUUGGCUGACAUCAGCAGAAGUGGAAAGUUUUUCGGCUAGGGAUGGACUCGCGGCCUAUCAGCUAGUUGGUGAGGUAACGGCCCACAAGGCGACGACGGGUA
RNAcentral lists this ribosomal RNA (254 nucleotides) under uncultured bacterium. RNAcentral describes it as "partial small subunit ribosomal RNA". It matches the Rfam family "Bacterial small subunit ribosomal RNA", at positions 26 to 285 of the family's 1533-position model. The record is from RNAcentral.